CUUUACUGACGCUAAAGCUCGAAGGUGCGGGUAUCGAACAGGAUUAGAUACCCUGGUAGUCCGCACGGUAAACGAUGGAUGCCCGCUGUUUGCGAUAUACUGUGAGCGGCCAAGAGAAAUCGUUAAGCAUCCCACCUGGGGAGUACGCCGGGCAACGGUGAAACUCAAAGGAAUUGACGGGGGCCCGCACAAGCGGAGGAACAUGUGGUUUAAUUCGAUGAUACGCGAGGAACCUUACCCGGGCUUGAACUGCCAGCGAACGAUUCAGAGAUGAUGAGGCCCUUCGGGGCGCUGGUGGAGGUGCUGCAUGGUUGUCGUCAGCUCGUGCCGUGAGGUGUCGGCUUAAGUGCCAUAACGAGCGCAACCCUUUUCUUUAGUUGCCAUCAGGUAAUGCUGGGCACUCUGGAGAUACUGCCACCGUAAGGUGUGAGGAAGGUGGGGAUGACGUCAAAUCAGCACGGCCCUUACGUCCGGGGCUACACACGUGUUACAAUGGGGGGUACAGAGAGUCGGAUAUACGCAAGUAUGUUCUAAUCCUUAAAGCCUUCCUCAGUUCGGAUUGGGGUCUGCAACCCGACCCCAUGAAGCUGGAUUCGCUAGUAAUCGCGCAUCAGCCAUGGCGCGGUGAAUACGUUCCCGGGCCUUGUACACACCGCCCGUCAAGCCAUGAAAGCCGGGGGCGCUUGAAGUCCGUGACCGCAAGGAUCGGCCUAGAGCGAAACUGGUAAUUGGGGCUAAGUCGUAACAAGGUAGCCGUA
RNAcentral lists this ribosomal RNA (758 nucleotides) under uncultured bacterium. RNAcentral's name for it is "bacterial SSU rRNA". It matches the Rfam family "Bacterial small subunit ribosomal RNA", at positions 735 to 1504 of the family's 1533-position model. The record is from RNAcentral.